GUCCACGCCGUAAACGUUGGGCGCUAGGUGUGGGGAACCUUCCACGUUCUCCGUGCCGUAGCUAACGCAUUAAGCGCCCCGCCUGGGGAGUACGGCCGCAAGGCUAAAACUCAAAGGAAUUGACGGGGCCCGCACAAGCGGCGGAGCAUGCGGCUUAAUUCGAUGCAACGCGAAGAACCUUACCUAGGCUUGACAUAUACCGAAAACUCAUAGAGAUAUGGGGUCCGCAAGGGCGGUAUACAGGUGGUGCAUGGUUGUCGU
Molecule: ribosomal RNA, 261 nt
Filed under: uncultured bacterium
Lineage: Bacteria
Description: partial 16S ribosomal RNA
Rfam family: Bacterial small subunit ribosomal RNA
Source: RNAcentral